AUGUAAACAACAAGAUAGUGAAGAAAACGCCAUGUAACGUGCAUAUAAAAAAACAGAAAACACAUCACCGAAAUUACACAAGUUUUUUUUUAAUCCAAAAAAAAAUAUUUUACAGGGUUUACAACACUUUCUUGAAGACAAAAGAGUUCAGAACCAACAACUACUGCCGUGCCUAAAGUGUUGCAUUGACAGUGAAAAAUGGCUCAUCUGUGUUGGUAGCGCUUACUAGUUGAUAGCAUAUCAGAUGUUAAGGAAGCACUCGUGAACACACUGGAGUGUGUUGCAUUCAGGUGCAAAUGGAGGAGAAAUAAAGGACUGUCCUGCAUAAAUCCUUCUGUGGUCUUCUGCAAUCCAGG
Corythoichthys intestinalis (scribbled pipefish) is the source of this 356-nucleotide long non-coding RNA. RefSeq lists it as uncharacterized. The record is from RefSeq and is a predicted model, not a curated record. The transcript is spliced from 3 exons. Lineage: Eukaryota; Metazoa; Chordata; Actinopteri; Syngnathiformes; Syngnathidae.